Molecule: non-coding RNA, 48 nt
Organism: Schistosoma rodhaini
Lineage: Eukaryota; Metazoa; Platyhelminthes; Trematoda; Strigeidida; Schistosomatidae
Source: Rfam
AUCCAGGUCAAGAGUCCCAAAUAGGACAAAACACGCGUCAAACUGGAU